AACGAACGCUGGCGGCAUGCCUAACACAUGCAAGUCGAACGAGACCUUCGGGUCUAGUGGCGCACGGGUGCGUAACGCGUGGGAAUCUGCCCUUGGGUUUGGAAUAACAGCGAGAAAUUGCUGCUAAUACCGGAUGAUGACGUAAGUCCAAAGAUUUAUCGCCCAAGGAUGAGCCCGCGUAGGAUUAGCUAGUUGGUGAGGUAAAGGCUCACCAAGGCGACGAUCCUUAGCUGGUCUGAGAGGAUGAUCAGCCACACUGGGACUGAGACACGGCCCAGACUCCUACGGGAGGCAGCAGUGGGGAAUAUUGGACAAUGGGCGAAAGCCUGAUCCAGCAAUGCCGCGUGAGUGAUGAAGGCCUUAGGGUUGUAAAAGGCUCUUUUACCCGGGAUGAUAAUGACAGUACCGGGAGAAUAAGCUCCGGCUAACUCCGUGCCAGCAGCCGCGGUAAU
Molecule: ribosomal RNA, 452 nt
Filed under: uncultured bacterium
Lineage: Bacteria
Description: bacterial SSU rRNA
Rfam family: Bacterial small subunit ribosomal RNA
Source: RNAcentral